Molecule: ribosomal RNA, 500 nt
Filed under: uncultured bacterium
Lineage: Bacteria
Description: partial 16S ribosomal RNA
Rfam family: Bacterial small subunit ribosomal RNA
Source: RNAcentral
AUUGAACGCUGGCGGCAUGCCUUACAUAUGCAAGUCGAACGGCAGCACGGGAGCAAUCCUGGUGGCGAGUGGCGAACGGGUGAGUAAAGUAUCGGAACGUGCCCAGUCGUGGGGGAUAACGUAGCGAAAGUUACGCUAAUACCGCAUACGAUCUAUGGAUGAAAGCGGGGGAUCGCAAGACCUCGCGCGAUUGGAGCGGCCGAUAUCAGAUGAGGUAGUUGGUGGGGUAAAGGCUCACCAAGCCGACGAUCUGUAGCUGGUCUGAGAGGAAGACCAGACACACGAGGACUGGAACACGGCCCAGCCUCCUACGGGAGGCAGUAGUGGGGAAUUUUGGACAAUGGGCGCAAGCCUGAUCCAGCCAUGCCGCGUGCAGGAUGAAGGCCUUCGGGUUGUAAACUGCUUUUGUACGGAACGAAAAGGUUUGACUUAAUACGUUGGACUCAUGACGGUACCGUAAGAAUAAGCACCGGCUAACUACGUGCCAGCCGCCGCCGUAA